GUAGGGGGCAAGCGUUAUCCGGAUUUACUGGGUGUAAAGGGAGCGUANACGGCGAUGCAAGUCUGAAGUGAAAUACCCGGGCUCAACCUGGGAACUGCUUUGGAAACUGUAUGGCUAGAGUGCUGGAGAGGUAAGCGGAAUUCCUAGUGUAGCGGUGAAAUGCGUAGAUAUUAGGAGGAACACCAGUGGCGAAGGCGGCUUACUGGACGGUAACUGACGUUGAGGCUCGAAAGCGUGGGGAGCAAACAGGAUUAGAUACCCUGGUAGUCCACGCUGUAAACGAUCAAUACUAGGUGUGCGGGGACUGACCCCCUGCGUGCCGGAGUUAACACAAUAAGUAUUGCACCUGGGGAGU
This 355-nucleotide ribosomal RNA is filed under the name uncultured bacterium. Its description in RNAcentral is "bacterial SSU rRNA". It matches the Rfam family "Bacterial small subunit ribosomal RNA", at positions 527 to 881 of the family's 1533-position model. The record is from RNAcentral.